GGGACGAACGCUGGCGGCGUGCUUAACACAUGCAAGUCGAGCGAGGCCCUCCCUUCGGGGAGGUGUCCUAGCGGCGAACGGGUGAGUAACACGUGGGCAACCUGCCCUCAGCUCUGGGAUAACCCCCGGGAAACCGGAGCUAAUACCGGAUACGACCUCGGAAGACAUCUUCCGAGGUGGAAAGAAUUUCGGCUGAGGAUGGGCCCGCGGCCUAUCAGCUUGUUGGUGGGUAACGCCCACAAGGCGACGACGGGU
RNAcentral lists this ribosomal RNA (255 nucleotides) under uncultured bacterium. RNAcentral's name for it is "partial small subunit ribosomal RNA". It matches the Rfam family "Bacterial small subunit ribosomal RNA", at positions 27 to 284 of the family's 1533-position model. The record is from RNAcentral.